UUUCUAUGAUGAUUUUCAGAUCUUGGUCCGUGUUUAUGACCCUCAUGAUUAAUGAGAUCUCCUUUUCCUGAGUCA
Molecule: small nucleolar RNA, 75 nt
Organism: Panonychus citri (citrus red mite)
Lineage: Eukaryota; Metazoa; Arthropoda; Arachnida; Trombidiformes; Tetranychidae
Product: small nucleolar RNA SNORD18
Exons: 1
Source: RefSeq, a predicted model, not a curated record